AAUACAUAUUGUAAGUCCCGCGUUAUAUGAAGGGAAAUAUUUUAAGCAUUAUCACGGUGGCAGCUGGCAUAGCUGGGACGGAGAACUAAUUUGGUGGUUUUAUAACCACGGACCAUUAUUUUUAAAAUUGAUAAUAUUAGCAGCAAUAAUUUUUGUACUGGUGACGUUAAAAAAUAAUAACACAUUUGUUGGAAAACGAAGAAAUAGUCAUAUAUCAUAAUUACACAG
This 228-nucleotide long non-coding RNA is filed under the name Mytilus galloprovincialis (Mediterranean mussel). The record is from RNAcentral. Lineage: Eukaryota; Metazoa; Mollusca; Bivalvia; Mytilida; Mytilidae.